This 253-nucleotide ribosomal RNA is filed under the name uncultured bacterium. RNAcentral describes it as "partial 16S ribosomal RNA". It matches the Rfam family "Bacterial small subunit ribosomal RNA", at positions 524 to 776 of the family's 1533-position model. The record is from RNAcentral.
UACGGGGGGGGCAAGCGUUGUUCGGAAUUACUGGGCGUAAAGGGUUCGUAGGUGGCCAACUAAGUCAGACGUGAAAUCCCUCAGCUUAACUGGGGAACUGCGUCUGAUACUGGUUGGCUUGAGUGCAGGAGAGGAAUGCGGAAUUCCAGGUGUAGCGGUGAAAUGCGUAGAUAUGUGUCGGAACACCAAUGGCGAAAGCAGUCUUCUGGACGGAUACUGACGCUGAGAUACGAAAGCCAAGGUAGCAAACAGG